This 257-nucleotide ribosomal RNA is filed under the name uncultured prokaryote. RNAcentral's name for it is "partial 16S ribosomal RNA". It matches the Rfam family "Bacterial small subunit ribosomal RNA", at positions 522 to 777 of the family's 1533-position model. The record is from RNAcentral.
AACACGUAGGGGGCGAGCGUUGUCCGGAUUCACUGGGCGUAAAGAGCUCGUAGGCGGUUCGAUAAGUCGGGUGUGAAACCUCCAGGCUCAACCUGGAGACGCCACCCGAUACUGUCGUGACUAGAGUCCAGUAGGGGAGCGUGGAAUUCCUGGUGUAGCGGUGAAAUGCGCAGAUAUCAGGAGGAACACCAGCGGCGAAGGCGGCGCUCUGGGCUGGAACUGACGCUGAGGAGCGAGAGCGUGGGGAGCGAACAGGA